Molecule: long non-coding RNA, 1386 nt
Organism: Sander lucioperca (pikeperch)
Lineage: Eukaryota; Metazoa; Chordata; Actinopteri; Perciformes; Percidae
Exons: 2
Source: RefSeq, a predicted model, not a curated record
UCAACUGCAGAGAGAAAGAGAGUGGAACGAGAGCAGAUUAAUCAACUAGUUGUCAACUAUGAAAUGAAUGUAUGACCAACUAUUUUGAUAAUCGAUUAUUGUAUUUGUGUAAAAAGUCUCUGAUUCUCAAAAAUGCAUUUGAGUUCAGAUUUCAAAUUCAAAUUUGGCCCUAAUUCUCUUCCGUAGAUUCCAGCUUGUUAAAUGUGAAUAUGUUCUAGUUUCUUCUCUCCUCUGUGAUAGUAAACUGAAUAUCUUUUGAGUUGUGGAGUACACUGGCCGACAUUUUUCACCAUUUUAUAGACCAAACAACUAACUAGUAAAUAAUCGACCGAUUAAUCGACAGUAAAAAUAAUCAUUAGUCGCAGCCCUAAAAGACAGAGAUUGAACGUUUUUCACGGUGUCUGUGGUAAACUCUGCGCGGCUGGCUCCAGCGGCUGGCUCGGGGUCAAGGCUUCUGGCGGCCCGCCCUAUGCAGGGUCAUUUUUAAACACGCUCUGCUCUUCUGCACAUCAAAUGUGUUACUCCUUCAACUCCCACCUCCUCUACCACAGUGUUUUAGGACUCAAUCCCUCGGCCUAUUUUGUAUUGCAUGCCACAGACGUCUGUCUCUGGCUUGAGUGCGCUGAUGCUGUUUUGUUGUAAGCCUGUGUCUCCCAUCUGUUCCACUAGCCGAGCCUCGUAGCCUGAUUCACAGUGACAGCUCCUGUUCUAGGACUAUACAGGCCUGGGUGCACAGCAAACAUGGGCUUCAUUCAUAAAGCUGCAUGCUGGAGUCUCCCUGGGAGUAAAACAACAUUUGGAGGUGCACUCAACACAGGACUCUGAAGUGUCACAAAAUCCUUUCUGAUAUUAUGUUAAUGAGCUUAAAUAGUGGUAAACGUUAAUUACAAAAACGUUUAAAAAAAAGUAGGCUAAACCUAAUGUUAAUGUGCACCACCAAAGUGUCAGAGCAUCGUCUAGCUGUCAAACAGACGCAUGGGAUUUGGAUUAACCCUGAUGAUGGAUUUAUGUGAAGCACACAGACAGUGCAGACUGAGUUUAAACCUCUGCAAACGUGAGAUCAAAAUGAACAUGUCACCAGAAUGCGCUGUGAUCCUGUAGAGCUGUACAUACUUUUAACAGAGUGUGGCAAAUGCGUCAGGUUUUUCUCCAUUCCAACCAAAAAUAAUCCGGUGACAGAAGAUAUAACCCAAGGUCGUUCAAGUGAAUAAUAAUCCGGACAUCAUCUGCUGUGGCGCCGGGUUCUCCUGCCUUCUCUUCAGCUCUUCAAACAGCAUCCGGGCGAUUUCAACUUGACGUUAUCAAUUUCAUGAAACGUGUAAAGAAACAAAAUGAUCUCCCAAGUUUCUGCUGCUGGCUGGUUUGGUUUCUGUGGGAUGAAGCGCU